This 72-nucleotide transfer RNA is filed under the name Pseudexostoma brachysoma. Its description in RNAcentral is "tRNA-Lys". It matches the Rfam family "tRNA". From Rfam's summary of the family: Transfer RNA (tRNA) molecules are approximately 80 nucleotides in length. Their secondary structure includes four short double-helical elements and three loops (D, anti-codon, and T loops). Lineage: Eukaryota; Metazoa; Chordata; Actinopteri; Siluriformes; Sisoridae. RNAcentral also lists the same sequence under 1 other name. The record is from RNAcentral.
CACUAGAAAGCUAAAUGGACAAGCAUUAGCCUUUUAAGCUAAAGAUUGGUGGCCCCUACCCACCUCUAGUGA